RNAcentral lists this ribosomal RNA (468 nucleotides) under uncultured bacterium. Its description in RNAcentral is "partial 16S ribosomal RNA". It matches the Rfam family "Bacterial small subunit ribosomal RNA", at positions 28 to 507 of the family's 1533-position model. The record is from RNAcentral.
GACGAACGCUGGCGGCGUGCUUAACACAUGCAAGUCGAACGGAAAGGCCCUGCUUUUGUGGGGUGCUCGAGUGGCGAACGGGUGAGUAACACGUGAGUAACCUUCCCUUGACUUUGGGAUAACUUCAGGAAACUGGGGCUAAUACCGGAUAGGAGCUCCUGCUGCAUGGUGGGGGUUGGAAAGUUUCGGCGGUUGGGGAUGGACUCGCGGCUUAUCAGCUUGUUGGUGGGGUAGUGGCUUACCAAGGCUUUGACGGGUAGCCGGCCUGAGAGGGUGACCGGCCACAUUGGGACUGAGAGACGGCCCAGAAUCCUACGGGAGGCAGCAGUGGGGAAUAUUGCACAAUGGGCGGAAGCCUGAUGCAGAAACGCCGCGUGCGGGAUGACGGCCUUCGGGUUGUAAACCGCUUUCGCCUGUGACGAAGCGUGAGUGACGGUAAUGGGUAAAGAAGCACCGGCUAACUACGUG